GGGAAGAGGGAAAGGUAGCAGAGGCCGCUGGUCUUUCUCGCGGCGACUCGCUGUCCCCGAGGAUCCCUCAGUGACCGAUGGGACCGGGGGUUUCCUGGGUCGGCGUGUCAGUGAGAGUGUGUGGGUAUGGCCUCCACGAGAUACGGGAUUCGUUUUGUUUUUGAAAAGAGGACGGAGCCACGCAACGGUCGGCGGCGAGCGGAGCAGCCGAGCAGGGCCGCACGCAGAGGCUGGCUGGGACUGGGAGAGACCUGAGACGUGAGGUCAGAUGGGGUUGACGUGCUCGGCGGCUGCAGCGGCUCGGGCUCGGCUGAGAGCGGAGCUGCGUGGGGCGUGGGCGCCUGGCAGGACGGAGGAGUAGACGACGCCUGCUUAGACUGCCGUGCCGAUGACCGAUCAUCGCCAUCUCUACGGCCGAGUAGAUACGCUCGUGAUCUCUGCGGAUUCGUGAUCGUCCUUCUCUUUUCUGCUCCACAAUUUGAGAUUUUUAGACGUUGAGUGUUCGAUCGCGUCGUCAUUUUCCGCCUGCUUUGCAAUUUUCAACUUUCAAGUACACGGCCUCGGGCCUUUGUAAGCCUACCAUGCACAGGCCCUGCACGACGGCCCGCAGGAGACAUUAGGGGAGGUAGUGGGCCGGACGGGGGAAGGUGUGGCCUCGAAUAUCCGGUUGUUCAGCCCAUCGCCCAAUGAGGUAUUUCAUGGGCUGUAUCCGUGACCGUGGGUAGUGGGCCGGUCUGAGGCACGCGCGCGCGCGUGUUCGGUUAUCGUAUUUUGCAAUAAAAAAACGGAAUUCAAAAAUAAAAUAAAAAAUAGCGCGACUAACAUCAGCUAGCAAACCCUGGGCUUGCAGUAGUCAAAGAUCACCUCAGGUGUUUUGAUCCUUGAGCUAAAGUUUAGUUCAUGUUAUAUUGAAUCUUCAGAAGCUAAUUAGGAGAACUAAAUAUGAGUUAAUUAUAAGACUAAUUACACAGAUGAAAGUUAAUUGCAAGAUGAAUCUAUUAAGCCUAAUUAAUUCAUAAUUAGCACAUGUUUACUAUAGCAUCACAUUGUCAAAUUAUGAACUAAUUAGACUUAAUAGAUUCGUCUCGCGAAUCAGCCUCCAUCUGUGCAGUUGGUUUUAUAAUUAGUCUAUAUUUAAUACUCCUAAUUAUUAUCUAAGCAUUCGAUGUGAUAGGGACUAAACUUUAAUCCUGGAAACCAAACGGGCCUCAGUUGGAUGAAGCUCCAAGCGUCCUGACUACAUUACAGUAUGCACGCUCAUCGUCGUAAUUUUUUUACCAGAUGUACUGCUAAAGUUUAGUACCUAUCACAUCAGAUAUUUGGAUACUAAUUAGAGUAUUAAAUAUAGGCUAAUUACAAAACUAAUUGCACAGAUGGAGUCUAAUUCGUGAGAUGAAUCUAUUAAGCCUAAUUAGUUCAUGAUUUGACACGUGGUGCUACAAUAACCAUUUGUUAAUGAUGGAUUAAUUAGGCUUAAUAGAUUUAUCUCGCGAAUUAGCAUUGGGGUUCUGCAAUUAGUUUUAUAAUUAGCUCAUGUUUAGUUCUCCUAAUUAGUAUCUGAACAUUCGAUGUGAUACUGUUAAAAUUUAUCAUCCAUUAUCCAAACACCCCGUAGUACAACUUCAACUUGUGAGAAAGUCGUCAGUAUGAAACGUGUUUCAGUGUACGUUGCACUGGCAGGUCGUGCUCUCUCAGUCUCUCCCCCGCCCAGAUGUUUGACCUUCAGCAGCAUCUAUCUGAGCCGGGAGCAUGCAUCAUCAGCAUCCUAGUACGGCUAGAUCCACGUACGCCCUGCGUGCAGGUGCCAGAUGGGAUCAGAUGUUGCACACACCUGUGGGCUGUGGCGAAAAGACCAGACGUGAGAAACAAGCCGGGAUACGAGGACGUGACAUCAAAUUAUAACAUUUUUUUCUUUGCACGUAUUCGAAGCCGAAGUCAGAGCAUAUCCAAUCGAGUGGCGUGUAGUAUCUCUUCAGUAUAAUAGUAUACGUAGCUAGCUAGUGUUCGUCCACACAUUAUUCAAUUCAAACCCCUCACUGUUCAGAUGCAGAGACACGAGCAACGUAAAAAGGCAAAUAGUGAGAGUGAAAGAAGGUUUCCAGCCGAUCCCGAUGCGGUUGCCGGCGUCUUUUUCGCCGGCGCAACGUCCAAUUACCACACUGCUAGCUGCUGUGCAGCUGCAGCCUGUAGAGGGCUGGGGGCCGGGACAGCCGGACAGGCAAGGUAUGGGCGCGCGCGCGGCACCGAUGGAAGCGAGCGCGUGCGUCUCGUCGGAGCGGCAGCAUCCCGGUCAAAUCACCCUCGACUAGUCUGCUUUCCGCGAGUGAUGCGGCCGGAGGGAGAAGAGAUCACUGUACCUGAGGCAACGUCGGUGUUUGGAUCCCUUCCUCGUGACUACUCCAGUGGUCUUCGUAGCGUGCUCCUCCGUUCUUAAAUAUACGGCUUUAAUUUUGAUCACUAAUAUCUAUUAAACAAGUUAAUUAAUUAAAGUAAAUUGUGUACCAUUAUAUCUAUUAUCAAAUAUUAUCUAUUUAUAAAAAUAUUUGUAAAAAAGAUGAAUAAAAAGUCAAUAGCUUCGUAUAUUGCACGGAGGAGUAUAUAGAGCGAGAGGCGUCAGCCAUGCUGAUGCAUGCAUCGAGCAAAUAAACCGGACGGUCGUCAAAUCCAGUAUACAGCCGCAGCAUGUUUGAUUAAUUAUUCAAUCAAUCGUGGAUAAUGACUUUUAACAAAAUAAAACAACAUUAUACAAUAGACCCAACGUUUAGAAGAAGUGGUCUGGAUUCGUUGAGUGUACACCUACAUACAUUAAUUGAAAGUGCCCUACAAUUGUGGGAAGGAGAGCCUACCAAGUAGCAGCUGAUCUUUCAGUUAGUCCAUUCUCAAUGAAGUUUUAUGGAUAAUAAAUAAGUUUAGUCAAUUUUGAUAACAUGACACACUAUUUACGAGGUGAGAGAAGAAAGUGAUUUCAUAGGAAUGAAAUCAUGUGUACACUAUUUUCAAAAUUUUUGUGUCUUGUACGUAACCUUAGAAACAACAAGAGGUGAAACUAUGAAUUGUGUGAGCUAUUUCAUCUAUGAACUAAAUAGAUUCAUGCUUACGUGGUAUUUUUGAAAAUAUAAAUAUGAAACUUUCCAUUGAGAAUACUUGCAUGUGCGGGCAACGAGCGGCACGCAGAACCGCAGGAAAAAGCUGAACAAUAAAUGUUCUAGCUCGUAGUCGUCGUAGCUAGGUAGCUAUCCAGCACGGUACAGUACUUAUAGUAUAUGCAUCUGACUACAUCUUCUACCGUUCUACGCGCAAGGCAUUAUUGCCUUGAGGCGACAGUCUUGGCCACUCAUCCACGGCGCCUCUACAAACUGCGAGGCAACCGAAAUUCCAAACAACUCUCGGUCAAACGGAACGCUGCCAUACGUACGGUGGUUUAUACGUGCAGUGCAGGGUUUAACUUGUGAGGUUACUCCGUACACGGCGACACGCACGCGCUGACACACGUACAAAUUCCUUCAAUCCUUGUCGCUUGACCCCGUUCUUUUAGCUGGUGAAGCCGUCACACCAAGGGGAAACGUACAAGCAACGUACUAGUCCCCGGCGCAAUUGCAAAAUACACACGCCAGUAGCUGAUGAGCUAGCGGCUGGAGGUCAAACUAAUAAAAAUGUUACUACCACCACUUCCAAAAAAAUAUAAUAGUCCAUUAAGACAUGGAAACAAUUUUAAAUGUGACAUUGUGACAAGCGAUAUCUAUGAGAAUAUGCAUAUUGCCCCCUCCAUUCGACAAUGUUUAUCAACGUUGAUCGACUUUUAAACUUGAUGGUUGGCCAUUCGUUUUAUUAAAAAAUGUAGUGCAAAUAUGGAAAAUAAAGUCAUCACGAACAAGUAACAAUAGAAAAUGGUGUUUACAUAAUUUCUUUAAUAAGAUAAAUGAUCAAUUGCCGUGUCUAAAAGUCAGCAAUGACAAACAUUUAGGAACCGAAGGAAUAUUUACUUAAAAAAGGAUACGGAUUGCAAAAAAAAAUGAUCAUCAUGAAUCUAAUAGCAUCAAUCUUCUUAUGUUCCAAAUCAAUAUGAUAUUCCAAAUAUUGAUGAUAAAUAAAAAAUAAAAAAAAUGUCUGACUAACAUGCAGCAACAACAUAUUUAGGAUUGGAGAAGAGAAGACCAUAGCAAACUUUUGAAAAACAAUUACUUGUAAGUAUUUGCCCAUUCCUUUACUGUGCCACUAUUAAGGAUCUGCUAGGAAAAUCUACACCCACUGUAUACUUUGUCUCAUCUGGCGGCAUGAUGCAUGUACACAAACCCUAUUGCCCAUUUUGAACUCACGAUGAAAAUGGAAGGAGCCGAAGAGCAAGUAUAGUGAUGCAUCAGUGUGCACACAGGGGACCCAUGAUGUGAGACAUCACAGCCACACAGGCGGCCCAUGCAUCGUUGUGCCAUUCCCAUUUAUGCCAAUGCAAGAGAUGCCAUGCUACCGAAAGCCCCUUUCUCCUGACCCUCUUCCUCUCUCUUGUAACCUCAAAGGCACAAACCCUAAUACAGACACAUACUACACACACUACAGAAGCAUAGAACUACUGACUACAUGCACUAGCACACUACAGAUCUGCUCUUCUUUUGAACACGAACACGCGCACAUAAACGCACAAUACAAAUACCAAGAGUCACACAAGCACAACCGUAUAAUUCCAAAAUGUAGAGUACUACAAUAAGGUACAAAUAGAUCGAGUCAGUUCAAGCGGACACAGCACAAAAGGAAGAACACAAACAACUGAUUCUAAACCGUCAGUAAGCUUCUUUCUAGAACACGAAAUCUGUUAAUUGCAGCAAACAGAGGAGAAGCAACUGUGCAAGGAUAGAGAUCGUCUCACCGGAGGCGAGAUAUGCUUUGAGCCUGAGCAAGUUAGCGUGCGCAUUGAAGGAGGGCAUGGCGGCAUGCAGCAGGCAGCAGGGGGCCAUUGCAUUGCAUGCCAGGGCAGGCAGGGCUCCCCCUCUUUUCUCUGCUGUCACACUCAAGAAGGACCCGUCCUGGAUGAUCAGUAGAGCACUACUGUUGGAAAUGACAUGGGAAAAGAAGUUUGCCAACCGCACGGCACGGCCGAUGCGAUGCCCUUACCAGGCCGGACGGCCGCGCGCAAUAAUGCCCGGCCAGACACCACACUAUCCCUGCAUGCCUCGCCGCUCUCAAAUGAUUGCAUAAUCAUGCAGCACAUGUAAACACUGGUAACCUAUCCCUAACGUCAUUUUUCAACCACAACCAGUAACACAUGCAUAGAGAUGAUAGAAGUAUAGUAAUCGAGUCAGCGUAACCAAAUGGGAUUCGUGUUGGCGAUCUCCAUGCUCCACAUCGCAUGUAUCUGAAAGCAAAACGGGAGAUCUGGAGCUGUAAUAAGAGAAAAUGAGACAGCUGCAGAAGCAAAGCUGCUGCUCAAAAAUGAGGAGAAACUGAGAAUUCAUGUGCUCAGGAGACGUAGAUAGCUUACUGGCCGAUAUGAUGUGUGUUCUUUUGGCUGCCUCCUGCCGACACCAACGAGAUCUCAGUAUGCACAACGAAUGCCGCAUGGUUAAAGGGAUUGAAGCCUGGUCCGAAAUCUCCGGUCGACAGCUCCGGCAAGGCCGGAAGAUAUCAAUCGAUCCCGACCGGAGACACCGAGCCAGACAACAACCCCCUUAACCUAAUCCAAGCAUGAAGCACCACAUGGAAUAAUCCAGCGCCCUCUCUCUUGCAGCACUACUUGGUGUGUUUCUAACUAGGUAGCUAAUUGGCGGUGAAUUGAGACGCCAUGGAUACAAUGGCUUGCGAGGAAUGAAGCCUGGUCCGACGCCUCUCGAUCUGUCCGGCAGCAGGCAACGAUCUGCAAGCUAGGACGCGGAUGCCUCGAGCCAGCCAACAUUCCCCACAAGCCCCCAUGACCAACGAGCUGAGCAAGAUGUGUGUAUGCAAGAUAAGGCCGUGAUGGGAAGUGGAUCUGAUGAUGAGCCUAUAUAUAGAAGAAGCUACCUGGAGGAAGCAAGAUGCAGGAUGGUGGAAUGGAUGGAGGAGUUGCAAUUGCAAAUGGUAGGGGAGGAAGAAGAAGGCCAAGGGUUUUUGAAGAGGAGGAGAACGAAGCAGCUAGGUAGCAGGGAAGAGGAGGGUGCGAGGACUGGAGGGGCACUAAUGGCAAUUUAUGGAGACAUGCCCCAUUUGCCACAGGGGGUGCCCUAACGCCUAUUAACUGCACUACUCUCCCCUUCUUCUCCAUUGCGUUGCCCGAUCGAGGCGCCAGUGGGCGGCGAUCUUUGCACUGCGCCCACCUCUCACUUUCCUGGGUCAGACUUCAGAGAGGGGGGCUAGAAAGGUGGUGUACUGGAGUAAAAACCAAGUGACUCCAGUGGUGGUUUGAAUUCUCUCAGAAAUGCCUCGUGAACUGCACCACUCCUCUCUGCACUCUACGGGCAAAAGGCUGUUCGGAAUGUCUUUGACGUGCUUGAAUUGUGGAGAAAAAUCGCUAUAGUUCAUGUCAAUUGAGGCUCCAAAAUGUUCCAUGCACAUGAUUUUUUGUACAUUUUUUUUAGCAAAACUAUCAAUAGUGUAGCACAUAAUAUUGGUGACGUUUAAUUUGGUGCAGCUUCAAAUCAAUGGAGUAUUGUUUAUGGCCAUUCUCUUUGAAUUGCAUUGAAGUGCUACAUUCAAGAAUGUUCUGCUGCUUGUUUUUACUCUGAAGCUUAUUUCGAGACCAUUGCAUUGGUCUCGUGAGAUGCGCCCAGAUGAUCAGCAGCGCAAUGAAGGCUGCGGAAUGUCUGCGAAAAGCUUGUAAGAAGAAAGACCUCAUAAUUACCGUGCCAAAUAUAUCAAGGCAGCCCUGUUUCGUGUUUACUGUCCUGGAUUUUACUGCCCCAAAACUAAAGGUGUUCUACAGUUGCACUAGUAGCAGACUAGUAGGGACUAGGGUAGCUCAAACUUCUAAACGUUGUCUUCUUGGAAAGAAUGAAGUGGUAGGAAUGAGACAUGGGUGACUUGACAGGAGCUAAGAAUCCCAGUGACCUUCAGGGAAAGCUAGCUAGCUUGGGUCAGGAAAGUUGUGGUAAUUGCAUUACAAAAAUGUCAACUUCUCCCAAAGAGUAAAAAUGUGUACUAUUUUAAAAUGUGACACACGCAGAGAGAGGGAGGGAGAGAGGGAGGGAGGGGAAGAGGGAGAGAGGGAGAGAGAGAUCACUGGGAUUUUAUCGAAUUGAUUGAAGAAAUGAUAAUAUAACUGGGGACUAGUACAAAUACAGUAUAAAUGCUGACUAGUAGUGCAAAAUAUAUAUAAAUGUGAGUACUGUACAUGUUCUGCAUCAUUCAAAUUUUGAAAAGUUGAUGUACACGACUAGAGCCUUUGCCACAUGCAUGCAUGAUCUCUGAAUUCUGAAACCGCAGGCUACGAUUGAUCAUCCUACUCUGAAUCAAACGGUCGAGAGGGCGUAGUAGUUUACGCACGGUUGUCCCCGGUCAACCUCACAGGAUUGACCAUCCGUAGACGCUGCGUG
This 7499-nucleotide long non-coding RNA is filed under the name Setaria viridis. RNAcentral's name for it is "long non-coding RNA (SVIR_LNC001129)". Lineage: Eukaryota; Viridiplantae; Streptophyta; Magnoliopsida; Poales; Poaceae. The record is from RNAcentral.